GGAAGAAGAGAGAGGAGAGGAGAGGAGAGGAGAGGAGAGGAGAGGAGAGGAGAGGAGAGGAGAGAGGAGACGAGUGGAACACGCAGAGGGAGGGAGACCAAACCCCCUCUUUGCUGCGUUGAAAGCUUCUGAAUUUCAAGCAGAAAGUAGAAGGAGCCCCACACAGCAAUAUUCGUCUUUUCUUGGGCUGCGUGUGCAGAGCGUAGACAAUGAAAAUCUCCAUCCCCUCCCCCAUGCUCUAGCCUACAAGAUUUUUGUUUCUUUCCUUCUCAACGAUGGAAGCCAUGUAAAAUCAAAUAUACAGAGAUGUGCAUUCAUUUUUUAAAGCACAGACUAGCAAACCAAACGAGCUGACCGCGGAUUACCCAAAUGCGCACCUGCUGGGAGCGUUCUGGGGUCUCCGCACAAAACCUGAUUUUGAGCUCUUCGGCUUCCUCCGAGAGAGCUGGAGCCCGUCCUUCCCCGUGGCCCACCCAGCCGCAAGAGAUGCUGUGAAAAGAGCCGCUGCCCACCGCCUCGGGCCCUGCUGUCCAGAGGGCUCCGCCCAUAGAGGUCAACUCCCCUCACUCUUCCUCUUUCCAGUUCGCCCUCCCUCCGCCGAGCCCCUGACUCGGGUCUCCUCCCGACUUUUGCCGCAGAGAGUGCAUAUCUGCUGCGCUGCCCUUAACCUGCGCCGGGAGCAGACUCAGACCAGAUCUCUGUUCUCCAGAGCCGGAGGAAGCCCGAGCAAGCAGCCUUUUCUCCCUGCAGUAAAACCAUAGCCAGACCAGAUGCGCCCCAGCUCUCCCGGGACUCGGCAGGUGCUGUUGAGUUAAUUUUUCCGCCAUACAAAGAAGGAUGACCCAGCCCGCCCUGGGAUUCUGAUCUUUUCCCCAAAUUUCCCAACCCAAAUUGGGGUAUCAGAGGCAUAUCCGUGUGUUUGUCGGACAUACAAACAUGCAUGUUUAUGUUCGCUUUUAUCUGCUAGAUUUCUUCUCGAUGGCAGGAGAUGACUGACAAAGGUUUCUUCAGCAGAAUACGCAUGGCGUGGUCCUUAAAGACUUUCCUUUCCUUGCAGAUGUCUUAGGAAGGGAUUCAGGGCAAACCAACUCAGUUAAUUGCCUUCAGUAAAAUAACACGAUUACGAAAUUAGAUCUGUACCAGAGGGGUAAUUAACUUCGAUCCGUGCCAUCAUUUGAAAACCAGAUUUAUAGACGUAUGUAUGGAUUUUAGGUGCGCUGUAAAUGGCAUGCAGAUGUAUGCAUAAGUAUACGCAGGCUCUUUCCCCAUCUACUCUUCCACCACGCAGACUAAUUAACGGCAACUCUAGCAGAUGUGGCAGGAGGAGAGCUGAGAUGGAGCACUGCGCUGAGUUAUGACCCUGGGGGUAGGGACUCCAAGCCUGAACUCCAGGGGAGGCUGAAGGGCAGAGAGGAAAGUGUGAUAGUUGCAGUGAGUCAGUUGCUUCUGGAUCAAGAUCAGAGACUCUGCCCUCCGUGUUCACAGCGGACCUUGAUUUAAUGUCAUACAAUUAAGGCACGCGGUGAAUGCCAAGAGCGGAGCCUACGACUGCACUUGAAGGACAUCAGAGAGACUCAGGGUCGGAAAGGGUGGGGGAGAGACAAUUGCAGGCGUCAGGAAGGGAGCUAGAAUGAACCCAUCCUGUGCGGCAUAAGGACUCCUCGCAUUGAUUCAGAAUCUUUAGAAUGCGAGAGUCAUAUGUUUUUCAGCGAGUGUCCGGGAACCCCGCAUGCAUAUCCCCAAGGGGAAUAUUAGAGCUUUCAUUGACAGCUGUCAGGAGAGCAGUAGCUCCCAUUGGUGCAAAUGGUCUAGAGAGUCUGCAUUUGGAAAGCGCUGGCCUUUUCAAAGCAGAAUGAGGUUGUUCUCAAUCCUGGGCUGAAUUGGGAAAACAAAAUAGGAGAGGGAGUAUAGCAUUAAAUAGCGCCCAGACCACAUUGCACAAGAAACCUCAAAUGACUCAGUCAUCUGUGGAAAUAGGAACAUCCGGUCCCCCAGAGCCCUUGACUUCUCCCAUUCUCUACCCAGUCUCAUGGCGGCCUUGUCUAGCUUUAAAAGACCAAGGCAAAGUCGCAAUACCCAAAUCAGUCAACGUUGUCGAAUAACGGGAAAGACCAAGCCAGAAACUCUGAGACUUGUAAAUUAAUCUAUUUGAAAGACCAUGAGGUAGACUUAGUUAAGGUAGGUCCACUCCACAACCUUGGAGCCUAAGAAAACCAAGGCUGAGAAGGAGCCUUGAGGCAAGUCUUUGUUCUGAUGUGGCCUGCCUGGCCUGGGAACAAAGGCGAGGCUGGGCAAGGAAGAACCAAAGUGGCCGCGCCCUCCGCGCCUUGCGCUGUCCGUGGUGCUGACCGGACCCUCUUCCUCCUCCUUCUCUUCUUCCUCCUCCAUCCAUAAGCCCGCAAGUAAGGCAAUAAAAUCGCUUCUUCCCUACUAUAAAACAUCCAGGAUAUUAAGUAAUUUACAAAUAAAAAUUUGAAAUGGAAAGACUGUAAACAGCUAAACAGUAUUUUACUGAAACUGUCUACUCUAUUAUAAAAAUCAGUUGGUUUGGGUUGAAACCAGAAUCCGAGUAGUGGACAAAACCUGAAAGAAAGACAUGGAAUAGAAGAAAAUUUUGUUUUGUUUUGUUUUUCUUAAACCACAACCCUGAAAACAGAGACACAAGGUUCGAAGAUGUGGUCACCAAAGGUACCUCUCAAAGGACCCCAGAGUGUGCCUCAAGAUGUAUUAAAAAGGAUAACACUGGAGUGAUUAGGUGACCAGGGCAGGCAGGAGUAAAGCAGCCUGAAAACACUGUCUAGGCUCUCAGCAGGGAUCUGAAUAGGGCAGUCUUCCUAAGUGAGUUCCAAGGCCAAGACCCACAGAAGGAUGGGCUCUCUGGUGCUCAGGAGCUGAUACUGAGCACCACCUCUCAAGGAGGCACUGCAGGUCCAGCGGCUUGAAUCCCGCAUUGCGGGGAAAAUCAGACUGCAGAACUCUCCUCCUCAUAGCUACUCUGGACCAGACCUCCAGAGGCAGGACACAUUACCAAAUUCCAUAUAAUUAAGGUUUGCCUUAGGACUUGUGGGUCAGAUGUGUCUAAAUUAAUGUAUCCAAUGUAUAUUUAAAAUGCUCAGCCUAUUUCAACAUUUUAACUUAAACAUCGAGAAUAUGUAUAUAAGCAAUAAAAUAUUAAGUUCUAUACUUAAUCAUAUUUGCAAUGGAAAGAGAAAUAGGCAAUAAAUUGAUUUGCAUCCAGCCUAGGCCCAAGAAAGAAAAUGUUCCAUGUUUGAGUAUCUUUAUAGAUUCACAUCAUAAAUGCUGUCAAACAUCGGUCAUAGAUAAACUGAACCAGGUUGUACAAGAGAGACAGUGGCAGCAAUUUUUAUGCAAGCAUAGAAAUGGGCUAUAUAUGGACAAUUGCCUAAAAGAUAUGGUUUUAUAACAUUUAUUCUCUUAAACCCGAAUGAUGGAAAUGUAUCCACUGACUUAGGAAAUAAAAGAGGUCAGAAACAAUA
Peromyscus californicus insignis is the source of this 3497-nucleotide long non-coding RNA. RefSeq lists it as uncharacterized. NCBI's taxonomy places the organism in Eukaryota, Metazoa, Chordata, Mammalia, Rodentia, Cricetidae. The record is from RefSeq and is a predicted model, not a curated record. The transcript is spliced from 2 exons.